UCAGCAAAAUACUGAACUGGUUUGAGUCCCGUUGUUAUCUCAUAAAAUUGAACAAGCGAUUGGAGAUUCUUCGGCCCAUGAUAUUGCACCUUAGAUGUCUGGUUGACCAGUAAUAUUGAUGGCAAGCUAUGAAUUCCAUAUCUUGAAAACAUGCUCGGGAGGGCUGAAGAUUGCUCAAUAGCCAAAUGCUCAAUUUGAGGGAACAUUGAACCUAGCAUACUAAAUUUAGGACGCAUAUUUUGAGAAAAUGGGCACCAGGAAGCAUAGAAGAGGACAGAUGUAUAUGAGGUUCUCUGUUUUGAAGUCAAAGCUCUGUCCAGGAAGUUCUCGCCAACAUCGAGAGGGGGAUUUGGAAAGAUAGAGACAGGGCAUGUAGACUGAAGAUCAUAUAAAAAGAAAGCAGAUUCAUCAGGGCAAAUAAAUUCCGACGCCAACAGGAAUGGAAUCGACGACAAAACCGCAACAUAGAGCCAGAGAACAGAAAGCAGAGCCAUUUCAGGGGCAGAAACGAGAAUAAACAACAGCUCCUAGGGCAAAAUAGGGAAACGCAAAAGACCCAACAACCGAAAAUGGAUGCACAGAGAAUCAAGGAGAAGAAUGAAAGAAAGAAAUGGCGAUCCCUCUCUU
This 627-nucleotide unclassified non-coding RNA is filed under the name Hevea brasiliensis (rubber tree). Lineage: Eukaryota; Viridiplantae; Streptophyta; Magnoliopsida; Malpighiales; Euphorbiaceae. The record is from RNAcentral.